Long non-coding RNA from Pogoniulus pusillus (Red-fronted tinkerbird), 227 nucleotides. RefSeq lists it as uncharacterized. The record is from RefSeq and is a predicted model, not a curated record. NCBI's taxonomy places the organism in Eukaryota, Metazoa, Chordata, Aves, Piciformes, Lybiidae. The transcript has 3 exons.
UUUCCUUGACUCUGCAGUCUGGAAAACUGCUGCGUUGGAAUCCAAACAUGGCAGCAGCAUUCUAUGUUGCAUCUAGCUUGCUUUGUGAUUUUGCCCAUGCUUUGAAUCUUCUGAUGGACGACAAACCCCGGAUGAUGGCACAGUCGUUAACAAAACAAGUCACCCAUUUGUUCAGACGAUGCCAUCCUUCGAGCACACAACCAGCACCAGAAAGCCCACAAGCUCCC